Molecule: ribosomal RNA, 617 nt
Filed under: uncultured bacterium
Lineage: Bacteria
Description: bacterial SSU rRNA
Rfam family: Bacterial small subunit ribosomal RNA
Source: RNAcentral
GUGAGGGAAGCUUGCUUCCCUUGACGACGACUGGCGCACGGGUGAGUAACGCGUAUCCAACCUUCCCAUGACCACGGGAUAACCCGUUGAGAGACGGACUAAUACCGUAUGACGUCGUUUGCUGACAUCAAAUAACGAUUAAAGGUUUAGCGGUGAUGGAUGGGGAUGCGUCUGAUUAGCUUGUUGGCGGGGUAACGGCCCACCAAGGCGACGAUCAGUAGGGGUUCUGAGAGGAAGGUCCCCCACAUUGGAACUGAGACACGGUCCAAACUCCUACGGGAGGCAGCAGUGAGGAAUAUUGGUCAAUGGGCGAGAGCCUGAACCAGCCAAGUAGCGUGCAGGAUGACGGCCCUAUGGGUUGUAAACUGCUUUUAUGUGGGGAUAAAGUGCGUGACGUGUCAUGCAUUGCAGGUACCGCAUGAAUAAGGACCGGCUAAUUCCGUGCCAGCAGCCGCGGUAAUACGGAAGGUCCGGGCGUUAUCCGGAUUUAUUGGGUUUAAAGGGAGCGUAGGCCGCCAGAUAAGCGUGUUGUGAAAUGUACCGGCUCAACCGGUGAAUUGCAGCGCGAACUGUUUGGCUUGAGUGCACGGUAAGCAGGCGGAACUCAUGGUGUAGCG